UUUUUAAAAAAAUAAUUUAUUUAUUUAAUGUUUUAGUAUUUAGUAAAAAUUAAUUUUUAGAUUUAUAGUUUAAUAGUAUUGUAAAAGAAAUUGUUAAAUUUUAUAAAGAAUUUUAUAGUACCUUUUGUAUCAGGGUUGAUUAAAAUUUUUAAUUUUUUUUUAAUUUCUCAAAAUUUAUAGAGUUAAUUUUAUUAUUAAUUUAUUGUGGUAAAAAUAUUUAUAAAAUAAUAUUAGUUUUGAAAUUUAAUUCGUUAUAUUAUAUUUAGUUAUUUAAGAUUUAAAUUUAAUUUAAAAUUUUAAAAGUUGUAUUAAUUUUAUUGAUUAAUAUUUUAAAUUUAAAUUAUUUUAGGGAUAAGCUUGAAAUUUUAAUAUAAUAAUUUAUUUAUUUUAAUAAUUUAUAGGAAUAGAAAUUUUUAUUUAAGUUUGUAAAAAUUUAUUAUUUAUUUAAUUUUAAUUUAUUAUAUUUAUAUUUAUUUUUAAUAUUAAAUUUUAUUAAUUAAUAUUUAAUUAAUAGUAAUAAUGAUUAAAUUAGUAUAAUAUAUAAAUUUAUAAAUUAUGAAUUCGGCAAAAAUUAUUUUCAUCUGUUUAACAAAAACAUUGUAUUAAGUUUAAUUUAAUAUAGGAUCUGCUCAAUGAUUUAUUAAAUAGCUGCAGUAUUUUGACUGUGCAAAGGUAGCAUAAUAAUUAGUCUUUUAAUUGAGGACUUGAAUGAAAGAUUUGAUGAGAAAUAGACUUUAUUAUUUAUAAAAUUAAAAUUUUAUUUUUAAGUAAAAAAGCUUAAAUUAUUUAAAGGGACGAUAAGACCCUAUAAAACUUUAUAAAUUUUGAUUUUAAUUUUUUUGGAUUUAUAAAUAUCUUAUAAUUAAAAUUUAUUUUAUUGGGGUGAUAAAAAAAAUUAUUAAACUUUUUUUAAAAUUUAACAUUAUUUAAUGAUUAGUUGAAUUAAAAUUUUUAAUUAAAGGAAAAAGUUACUUUAGGGAUAACAGCGUAAUUAAUUUUUUAAGUUCAAAUUUAAAAAUUAGUUUGCGACCUCGAUGUUGAAUUAAGAUUAAUCUUAGGUGCAAAAUUUUACGUAUUAGGUCUGUUCGACCUUUAAA
This 1097-nucleotide ribosomal RNA is filed under the name Aphis clerodendri. RNAcentral's name for it is "partial 16S large subunit ribosomal RNA". Lineage: Eukaryota; Metazoa; Arthropoda; Insecta; Hemiptera; Aphididae. The record is from RNAcentral.